GACGAACGCUGGCGGCGUGCUUAACACAUGCAAGUCGAACGUGAUUUUUGUGGAAAUUCUUUCGGGAAUGGAAAUGAAAUGAAAGUGGCAAACGGGUGAGUAACACGUGAGCAACCUACCUUACACAGGGGGAUAGCCGCUGGAAACGACGAUUAAUACCGCAUGAGACCACAGAAUCGCAUGAUAUAGGGGUCAAAGAUUUAUCGGUGUAAGAAGGGCUCGCGUCUGAUUAGCUAGUUGGAAGGGUAAAGGCCUACCAAGGCGACGAUCAGUAGCCGGUCUGAGAGGAUGAACGGCAACAUUGGAACUGAGACACGGUCCAAACUCCCACGGGGGGCAGCAGUGGGGAAUAUUGAACAAGGGGGGGAACCCUGAUGCAGCGACGCCGGGGGAGCGAAGAAGGUUUUCGAAUCGUAAAGCUCUGUCCUAGGAGAAGAUAAGGGCGGUAUCAAAGGAGGAAGCCCCGGCAAAAUACGU
RNAcentral lists this ribosomal RNA (477 nucleotides) under uncultured bacterium. RNAcentral's name for it is "partial 16S ribosomal RNA". It matches the Rfam family "Bacterial small subunit ribosomal RNA", at positions 28 to 506 of the family's 1533-position model. The record is from RNAcentral.